AGACGUGUGCUCUUCCGAUCUGUUUCCCAGUCACGAUAUUUACAGGCGAUGAAGGACGUGAUAGACUGCGAAAAGCUAUGGGGAGUUGUCAAAUAAGCAUUGAUCCAUAGAUGUCCGAAUGGGGAAACCCAACUCGUAAGAGUUACUCCAAUGGAGGGCGAACGUUGCGAACUGAAACAUCUAAGUAGCAACAGGAAAAGAAAUCAACCGAGAUUCCGAAAGUAGUGGCGAGCGAAAUCGGACCAGCCGUUAACCGUUAUUAUACUGUAGACAGCAGAAUCAUCUGGAAAGUUGAGCCAUAGCGGGUGACAGCCCCGUAUGCGAAAUCCAGUAUAAAGAACUAAGGUUAAGAGAAGUAGGGCGGGACACGAGAAAUCCUGUCUGAAGAUGGGGGGACCAUCCUCCAAGGCUAAAUACUCGUAAUCGACCGAUAGUGAACCAGUACCGUGAGGGAAAGGCGAAAAGAACCCCGGGAGGGGAGUGAAAUAGAACCUGAAACUGCAUGCAUACAAACAGUGGGAGCCGGGCAACCGGUGACUGCGUACCUUUUGUAUAAUGGGUCAGCGACUUACGUUUUGUUGCAAGCUUAACCGAAUAGGGGAGGCGUAGGGAAACCGAGUCUGAACAGGGCGAUUAGUAGCAAGACGUAGACCCGAAACCAGAUGAUCUAUUCAUGGCCAGGUUGAAGGUGCAGUAACAUGCACUGGAGGACCGAACCGACUAAUGUUGCAAAAUUAGCGGAUGAGCUGUGGAUAGGGGUGAAAGGCUAAACAAAUCUGGAGAUAGCUGGUUCUCCUCGAAAACUAUUUAGGUAGUGCCUCGUGUGGACACUUCUUGGGGUAGAGCACUGUUAUGGCUAGGGGGUUAUUGCAACUUACCAAACCAUGGCAAACUCCGAAUACGAGAAAGUAAUACACGGGAGACAGACGCCGGGUGCUAACGUCCGGUGUCGAGAGGGAAACAACCCAGAUCGCCAGCUAAGGUCCCAAAUAAUCAAUUAAGUGGAAAACGAUGUGGGAAGGCAUAGACAGCUAGGAUGUUGGCUUAGAAGCAGCCAUCAUUUAAAGAAAGCGUAAUAGCUCACUAGUCGAGUCGUCCUGCGCGGAAGAUGUAACGGGGCUAAAUUGAUAACCGAAGCUGCGAGUGUGGAUUUUAUCCACACGGUAGAGGAGCGUUCUGUAGGCCUGCGAAGGUGUAUCGUAAGGUAUGCUGGAGGUAUCAGAAGUGCGAAUGCUGACAUGAGUAGCGUUAAAAUAGGUGAAAAACCUAUUCGCCGAAAGUCCAAGGUUUCCUACGCAACGUUAAUCGGCGUAGGGUAAGUCGGCCCCUAAGGUGAGGCAGAAAUGCGUAGCUAAUGGGAAGUGGGUUAAUAUUCCUACACCGAUGUUUGUAAGUGAUGGGGGGACGUAGAAGGUUAAAUCAGCCAUCUGUUGGCAUAGGUGGUUUAAGCGUGCGAGCUGACUCUUAGGCAAAUCCGAGAGUCAUAAGGCCCAGGCGUGAUGACGACGAUUCUGUUUAUACAGAAUUAAAGUGAUUGAUACCAUGCUACCAGGAAAAGCCUCUAAGCGUUUUAAAGCAAACAUUGACCGUACCGCAAACCGACACUGGUGGACAGGAUGAAUAUUCUAAGGCGCUUGAGAGAACUCUGGAGAAGGAACUCGGCAAAUUGACACCGUAACUUCGGGAGAAGGUGUGCCCUAAUAAUGUGUAAGUCUUUACGACUGAAGCAAUACAGGGUUGCAAAAAAUCGGUGGCUGCAACUGUUUAUUAAAAACACAGCACUCUGCAAACACGCAAGUGGAAGUAUAGGGUGUGACGCCUGCCCGGUGCUGGAAGAUUAAAUGAUGGGGUGCAAGCUCUUGAUUGAAGUCCCAGUAAACGGCGGCCGUAACUAUAACGGUUCUAAGGUAGCGAAAUUCCUUGUCGGGUAAGUUCCGACCCGCACGAAUGGCGUAAUGAUGGCCACACUGUCUCCUCCAGAGACUCAGCGAAGUUGAAAUGGUUGUGAAGAUGCAAUCUACCCGCGGUUAGAUCGUCAACUUAUAUUCAUUACCCUUACGCUAAUACUGCUACUAUAUUGGAUCCAAUAUUAUUUGGACUUUUUGAUUAUAAUUAUUUCAGUAAUCGGGACGUAGAAAACUACGGUCUUAAUGUUAGAGCACAUAGAACCUCAGGAAGUACUACUUUUAUUAAAGCUAGUUUUGGUGAGUCAGUCAGUUCUUUUUCGCAAGCACUAACUUCAAAUACUCAAUGUCUUAGUCUUAACACCUGGCACCAUGUAGCCCUACAAAGAUCCAACAAUACAUCUAAGGUUUUUGUAGAUGGAGUUCCUGUAAUAACCAAAACGAAUGAUAUAUCUGUUUAUACUUUUAGCGGUUACAACCCUAUUAAUUUUGGCGGGUACCCUUACAUGUACGGAAGUUCCGGUGAAAAUUUUUGUAAUUCUAUGGUUCUUAUAGAUGAAAUAAGAGGUGUAUUUGGCGCUACCGUAUAUGACCCUGAAGGAUUUUCUCCACCUACAUCAUCCUUAACUACAUCAACAUUUACAGUCUCUUCCUUUUAUCUUAACCAUACCAUACAAAAAGAUAUAAAAGAAACAGAAAAUGAUUAUUAUAAAGUUUUUACUCUACCUAACAACAGUAUUCCUUAUGUAAGGGAAAUACCUUCUAUACAAACUUUAGUAAGUACUGCUUCUACCAUAUCAGUUAGUCCUUCUGCAACUUUUAUGAUACCCAGUUCAGGGAGACUUUUAUUAGGA
RNAcentral lists this ribosomal RNA (2758 nucleotides) under freshwater metagenome. RNAcentral describes it as "bacterial LSU rRNA". The stretch from base 6 to 2165 matches the Rfam family "Bacterial large subunit ribosomal RNA". The record is from RNAcentral.